UUGCCAGACUCCUACGGGAGGCAGCAGUGGGGAAUAUUGCCCAAUGGGGGGCCCCCUGAUGCAGCUCCGCCGCGUGGGUGAAGGCGCACCUCGGUUCUUCAAGCCCUCUCUUCCGGGAAGAACCGCGCACAGGUUCUCCUUUACGGUACCUUCCUCAGAAGCCCCUUCUCACUACGUUCCCUCCGCCGCGGUCCUCCGUAGGGGGCCCGCUUUAUCCGGAUUCACUGGGUGGAAAGGGAGCGUAGACGGCGACUCAAGUCUGGAGGGAAAGCCCGGGGACCAACCCCGGGACUGCUCUGGAAACUGCGUCGCUGGAGUACGGGAGGGGCAGGCGGAAUGCCUGGUGUAGCGGUGAAAUGCGUAGAGAGAAGGAGGAACACCGGCGGCGAAGGCGGCCUGCUGGACCGUAACUGACGUUGAGGCUCGAGAGCGUGGGGAGCAAACAGGAUUAGAUACCCGUGUA
RNAcentral lists this ribosomal RNA (463 nucleotides) under uncultured bacterium. RNAcentral describes it as "bacterial SSU rRNA". It matches the Rfam family "Bacterial small subunit ribosomal RNA", at positions 328 to 792 of the family's 1533-position model. The record is from RNAcentral.